UUCGUAGGUGAACCUGCGGAAGGAUCAUUAAUGAAUUUAUAAUCCGGCGAGACGAAGGACGAGGACUGUCGCUGGCCUUCAACCGAGGCAUGUGCACGCUCUCUUCUGGACUUUCGCCGUAUGGGCGCGGGGCGACCCGCGUCUUCAUAUACCUCUUCGUGUAGAAAGUCUUCGAAUGUUUUUACCAUCAUCGAGUCGCGACUUCUAGGAGACGCGAUUCUUUGAGACAAAAGUUAUCACAACUUUCAGCAAUGGAUCUCUUGGCUCUCGCAUCGAUGAAGAACGCAGCGAAUCGCGAUAUGUAAUGUGAAUUGCAGAUCUACAGUGAAUCAUCGAAUCUUUGAACGCACCUUGCGCUCCUCGGUGUUCCGAGGAGCAUGCCUGUUUGAGCGUCAGUAAAUUCUCAACCCCUCUCGAUUUGCUUCGAGUGGGGCUUGGAUAGUGGGGGCUGCCGGAGACCUGAAAUUCAUUUCGGGACUCGGGCUCCUCUGAAAUGCAUCGGCUUGCGGUCGACUUUCGACUUUGCGCGACAAAGCUUUCGGCGUGAUAAUGAUCGCCGUUCGCUGAAGCGCAUCAAUGAACCGUCCCGUGCCUCUAAUCAGUCGACGCCUUCUGGGCGUCUUCCUUAUAGACGUUUGACCUCAAAUCAGGUAGGACUACCCGCUGAACUUAAGCAUAUCAAUAAGCGGAGGA
Molecule: ribosomal RNA, 693 nt
Filed under: Suillus flavidus
Lineage: Eukaryota; Fungi; Basidiomycota; Agaricomycetes; Boletales; Suillaceae
Description: eukaryotic LSU rRNA
Rfam family: 5.8S ribosomal RNA (bases 241-395)
Source: RNAcentral